This 252-nucleotide ribosomal RNA is filed under the name uncultured bacterium. RNAcentral's name for it is "partial 16S ribosomal RNA". It matches the Rfam family "Bacterial small subunit ribosomal RNA", at positions 524 to 776 of the family's 1533-position model. The record is from RNAcentral.
UACGGAGGAUGCGAGCGUUAUCCGGAUUUAUUGGGUUUAAAGGGUGCGUAGGCGGGUUAUCAAGUCAGCGGUAAAAUCGUGGAGCUCAACUCCAUCCAGCCGUUGAAACUGAUGAUCUUGAGUGGGCGAGAAGUAUGCGGAAUGCGUGGUGUAGCGGUGAAAUGCAUAGAUAUCACGCAGAACUCCGAUUGUGAAGGCAGCAUACCGGCGCCCGACUGACGCUGAAGCACGAAAGCGUGGGUAUCGAACAGG